This 5941-nucleotide long non-coding RNA is filed under the name Marmota monax (woodchuck). Lineage: Eukaryota; Metazoa; Chordata; Mammalia; Rodentia; Sciuridae. The record is from RNAcentral.
CCAGCCUGACCCCGCGCCCGCUGGGGCGCUGCCCUGAGCACCCUGAGGGGCGGGCUCUGCCUGUCCCCCUCGUCCCCUCCCAGCGAGGGCCUGCUCCCCGCGGUGCCCUCCUUGUGGCCCGAGCCCUGGCUGCUUCCCCGGGCAGCUGUCAUGGGGUGAGGUCAUGGGGGUGCCCCUCACUCUGCCCCCUCCCCAGGGUAGUGGACGGCAGGCCUGCCUGGGCACGGUUGGUGCCUGGGCACUGGGGUGAGGAAGGGCUCUGACCGGAGCUGAGCUGGACUCCCUGUCCCCUGAGCAGCCUCUCUGAGGCUGGAGUCCUCGGCUGGCUUCUCCUUCAGCAGCACCAGCCCCAGAGACUAAGGGAGGAGAUUGGUGGCAGGUGUUUGGACAGUGGCCACCAGAGGGCCUUCCAAAAGCCCUGCAGGUGCAGACAAGCUGCUGGCCUCGUCCUCCCUGCUGUGUGACCUCAGGCAAGUCACUCCACCUCUCUGGUCCCAGUUUCCUCAUCUGCAGAGUGGCGAUCGAACCCCACCAAGGGCUCGAGUAACAAGGGCCACCUUCUCUGGGCCUGGCCACACGCCAGGCUCCGCAGUGGCGGCAGCUGAGGGGCUCCCCGCUGCCCCCGGCUGAGACUGGGGCUCUUGAGGCCCAGGGGGGUAGGAGGCGCCCCCUCUGGCUUUGCCCACAGCCCCUCCUCGCGAGGCCCUGCACCCACCUGCGCGGGAAUAAACCAGCCAGCAGCCAGCAGGCAGCAGGCAGAGCUGCUGGGCCAUCUGCCCACCUGGGCCCGGCCCCUUGCUUCCCAGGCCGAGGGCGCCAUCUGCUGGGCACGAGGGACCUCACACCACUCAGCCCAGGCUUAGCUCUGGGAGUGACCCCCAGCCCCAUUUGUCUGAAGUCCCUGUUCCGACUGGCUUCCCACCCCCAGGACACACCUCUGGGUUUGACCUUGACCUCCACGGCCCAAAGAGGCUGCUGUGGUGUCUCUGGGACCUCCUCCCCUUGGUGCAGUCUGUAUUCAGAGCACGUGUACCUCGUGUCCAGCUGGGCAGAGCACGGCCCUGUGUGCGCAGGCCCCUCUCGAGCCACCCUGCCUGGGGCAUGAGCCUGGCCCCCCCUGCUCUACUGUCCCCGCCUCCAGGCCGCUGCCCAGCCUCCUCCCUCGGGCUGCCUCUGCAGCCCCAAGUCUGGCCCUCAGUGGAAGGAGGGGGGCUGCCAGCGCCCUGGCUGGCGGUCCUGGCCAGUGACUGUCCCAGCUCCUCCCAAGGGGGCUGUGCAGAGGGUGGGCCGGAGCCAUCCUCCACCUGCAGGCAGCGGCCACCCAGGCCCAGGUCAGCACCUGCUGCCCGUCUGCUCGUUCCAUGUCACGGCCCCUCAUGCCGACAGCCUGCAGCACCAGUGUGGCUGCCAGCGAGCUGUCACAGUGUCACAGGACACCGUGAGCCUGGAGAGGCCUCAGAAAGUGCCCUUGCCACCUUUCCUUCCUUCCUGCCGGAGAAGCAGGAGGCGGGGUGGAGGCCAGGCCUGGGGACACUGCAGGGUCCAGGUGCGCUCUCUGCAGCCAGCAGGGCACCGGAGAUCCACCCCUGGGGACAGGUGCCCAGACGGGACGCGCAGGCUGGGCACAGCCAGGAGCCCCCUGGACCAGCUCUGGCUCCGUUUCUCCUGCUGCCCCUCCUGUAGAGGCCGCUGCAGGCUCCAGAGGCCCAGCCCGAGAGGGCGGGAGGCCAGGCUGCCCGGCCAGGCCCCCAGAGAGCCGUCCUGGUGCCCGUGGGUGCUCCACGGCACCUCCUUCCCCCUCCUGAGCUUCUAGACCUUGUGGGGAGCACGUGGGGGCACCUGGGGGAGCAGCCAGCACGCCCCCGGGCACGGCCCUGGCCAGCUCCAGCCCAGCCACACGUGGUGGCUCCCCGUCCUGGCCCUGGCAGCUCGUCUGCCACCUGUCUCUGAGUCACCACCCGUCAUGGCUCAGAGAACAGGGACAGGCCACACUGACCCAUCACCAGCAGACGGCCAUGUGGCUUCCACCUCUGGCCACUGUGCAGUGUCCUCCUGAGGCGGAGGCCACGGCCUGCACGGAACCCGCCCUCCCUCCUCACCGGGGACCCGCGUGCUCUCCAUGGCCUCGCCCCUCCCCCAGCUGAGGACACUGGGGCCUGGGCAGCCAGCCCCAGCUCCCGCCCGUCCGAGGGGGAGAGGGCCACGGGGCUGAAACAGAGCCAGGCCUCGCCCUCUCCUGAGUGCGCCCAGCCGUGGCCCUGCCGAGAAGCCCUCUGUGCCGAGCCGCCCCCCGCGAGGCCAGCUGAGGGUCCACGCACACCAGCCACUCCUUGGGGACGGCUCUGCACGCUGGAGGCCAGGGGUCGAGACGUGGAGCCCGAUCCCGUUUCCAGGGAAGUGAACCUGCCGACCUCACACUGGGGGCCAAGACAGUGGUCCAAGGGCCUAACUGGAGAACACGGCCACCGUCCUGUGCUCCGGCUGCAGUGCUGGGAGCCGGCCUCCUCCCACGUGGCCAGGCGCGAGGUGGACCGCAGCAAGGACAGGGCUGAGAGGAAGGGAGCCUGGCCCCCGCUGGCCUGCCUGACGGCGGCCAAGGGCCUGGGUACGGCAGGUCUGUGCACCCACCCUGCCCGGGAAGCGGCCUCCACCAGAGGGCCAGGACGGUCCUCGUGAAGGUCCUGCGGGGGCUGGCCUGGGGCGGGGCCCCUCCACCCGAGGCCCACGCGGCUGCUUCUCCUUGGAUGCUGGUUUCCGGACUGAGCAGGGGCUCGGCCAUUGCUCCACGUUCCCACGCUGAGCUGCGCCCCAGCUGCAGUGCCACUCAACCAGGAGGUGACCAGGAGGUGAUCACAGCCCGGCCAGCCCCUCUCCUCCAGGAGAAGCUGUCUCGGGGCUGCCCAGGGUGCGUGAGGGGCACAGCCUCACCAGGUGCGUGACCGUGCAGCCUCUGGCCUCCUGGGGCAAGUGGACGCUGGGAGCCCUGGGACCGCGGCCCGGAAACCCAGGGGCCUGUGCGCGAGCCUCGGCCUUGGGAGCUGCUCUCUCACCCCCAGAGUCCAGCUGCUGACUCCGGCAGCCAGUCACAUGUCCCCUGCCAGGCUCCCUGAGCCCCAGGAGCAGACCGAGACCAGAGGGGUGCAGGCCACUGGUGAGCAGAGAUGGGGCGAGGGAGGCCAGCGGCAAGUCCCCGGUGGGCCACAGGGACUCAGUGUGGCUGCGGAGCUGUGGGGACCUUCAGGACAGGGAGGAAGCUGGGCACAGCACACCAGCUCCUGCAGAUGUUGGCAAAGGGACAGUGGCUCAGGAUGGUCACCUCAGGCCAGGUGGGCUCUGGGGGCCACCGACAGCAUCCUGGUGGGACCCUGGCAGCCUCGCCAGCUCCCCCAUGGACCCAGAACAGGGGCAUCAGCACCACCAGGAAAUGGGGGCUCCCAACCCCCUGGGUAUCCCUGCAGACCGCUGGGCGCCUGGGCUCUGCAGCCCGAGGGCCGCCCAGGUGGCCUCCCUCUAGCUGGAUGGACGGGCUGUGGCGGAGCCAGACAGGCACAUUUAGAAAGCGGGUGGCGGGACUCAGACAGUGCCCCUCCCACCUGGAAACACCCAGGGCGACGCUCUGUCCGGCGCAGGGGCAGGGGCCGCAGGGGCCGGCUUCUGGGGCUGUAAGUGGAUUUGUCCCCCUAGCCUGUCCCUUCUGGGCCCCACAGGACUAGGCGUCAACAAAGCAGCCGGCAGGAAGCCCCGAGCAGCAGCGGCUGGCGGAGCACAGGCCCCCACUGGGGGCUCUAAUUGCUUCCAGAUUCUGAGGACAUUUGAAAAGCUCCACCUCGAACCAGGACCUCUGGCUGCCAGCCUCCCGCGGGGGCAGAGAAUCCCGGACGCCCUGAAGCAAGCAGCAGAGGACACCAGGAGGGGGAUCUACCAGUCCCUGGAGAGAGUUCCGGUGGCCAGGGCCACCACCUUGGCCACAGGGAGGGCUGGGAGCCUGGGCAGCGUGCUGCGUCCAGGGCGGGGGGUGAGGGUACAGCAGGAGCUUCUCAGAAAGCCAGAGCCCAGGGAGGUCCCAUGAAGGCCUUCUGCGGGGUGGCUGGGGGGAGGCCACCAGACCCCAGGAGAAGCCCCGUGACUGUUGGAGGCGGAGCACGGAGGGUGGGUCCAGGGCACGGGGUUUCAAUCCCAGCCGCGCCAGCAGGGACAAGUCACACAAGUCACACGCCAGGUCUGCAAAACAGGCCACCCCAGCCCCCAGCAGUGUCUGUGGGCAGCAGCCGUGGACAUGGUGACCCCGGGCAGCCCAAAGAUCCCGGCAAACCUGCGGCUCAGGGCCACAGUGAGAGGUGUGGGGUGCAGUUCCCUCAGGGACACCAGGAGCCUCUGUACCCAGGCCUGUGCUCAAAAGUGGAGGCUGGAGAGGGGCUUCCAGGGGUGGAGAGGCCCGGGAGGCAGCUCUGGGGAGCAGAAGUCCCCCCGCCUGGUCCCCAGUCACACAAGCCACAAGCGCCAUGUCUAUGAGCCUCCCUUAACGAGGAAAGGGUGAGGGUACACGCUGCACCCCCCCCCACACAGAAACACACGCGCGCGCAUGCACACACAGAGAAGUGCACACACGUGCAGCCGUGCACACUCACCCCACAUGCAUGCACACGCGCACACACACACUUCUCCCUCCAGCUGCCAGAUGACAGCCGCCGCAGUCUGAACGUUACAAGUCAAUUACGCUGUCCCCCGCCUGUCUCUGCUGCCUCUGGGGAGGUCAUCUCACCAUCUCUGGACAUGAAAGAAGGACGGGGACGCUCCCCAGGGAGGGGUCCGACAGCCCUCGGGAAGCAGCCACCCGUCAAUCACAGGGGGGACUGGAGGUGGGGAGGCUGGUGUGAUCUCACCUCCAUGUGACGCAGCCCGACUCUGACCACCCUGCCCCUCUCGGGCCCUGCAUCCGUGGGCUGGAGGCCGUGCCCACCCCAGGGUCACAUUCAGGAUGCCCUUGGCCCAGAAGAUAGGCAGCUCCUCAGCCCUGAGCCUGGCACUCCCGACAGAGUCCCCCUCUGUCCCACUCAGGACCUUGGUAUAAAGCAGGGAAGGUAGAAGCACCCUCCAGGCCUGUGAAUGGGCUCCGAAAGAGUGGGCAGAGCAGGGGACGCAACGUCCACCCCGAAAGGAGGCAACUCAUGGAGUGUCACCAGGACAGACUCAGAUACCCUGAAGGGGACGCCACCAGUCCACAGGGGUGCAGCCUGGAGCCCAGCAGCGGCCCCCCCAGACUCUGUGAUGGGCAGGUUGUCCAGCUCCGGGGGCCAUGGGAAGCUGCACCCCAUCACAAGAGCCGCAGGGCCCUGGCCAGCCCGGCAGGGGCGCCCGGGUCCUGUCCCCAGCCCUGCUCCAGGCCCUCUGUCCUGUGUGCUCUGCAGCCCUGGGCGGCUCGCCUGACCCCGCCAGGGCCAGGGUGGGGAGGUGGAGCUGAGUUGUGGGCGCGGCACAGGAGGGUCAGCGGGCUCAGGGGGCAGUGAGCCUGGUGGCCACCGUCACCCAGGAGCAGGAGCACACCGUGAGCAGCCACAGCUGGCCCUCCCACGCCAGCGCUCUCCCCCCCGGGGCCACCAGGCCAGGCCUGUGCUGGCACCUGUGACGGGGCCCAGGCCCCGUUCCCGGAGAGCAGCUCUUCCUGGACAGGGGAGGAGGCCGCGGGAGGCCAGGUGCAGAGGGACCGCCCUCCCGCCCGCCCCAGCUGCAUGGGUGGCGAGCCGGGCUCUUCCCACACAUGGCUCAUUUGAUCCCGCCAGCGACCCGCAGGUGUGGGCACUUCCGCUGUCCCCAUGUCACAGAUGAAGAAAGUGGGGUUCAGAGAGGCCUCGGUGGAGGGCCAUGGCUGCUCCACGGCAGAGCUGGGCUUCGAGCCAGGCCCCCAGCGCCAAGUCUGUGAGCAGCGACAGGGCGCACGGCU